CGCCCUUAGAGUUUGAUCCUGGCUCAGGAUGAACGCUGGCGGCGUGCUUAACACAUGCAAGUCGAACGAAGCACUUUAUUUGAUUUCCUUCGGGGCUGAUUAUUUUGUGACUGAGUGGCGGACGGGUGAGUAACGCGUGGGUAACCUGCCUUGUACAGGGGGAUAACAGUUGGAAACGGCUGCUAAUACCGCAUAAGCGCACAGCAUCGCAUGAUGCAGUGUGAAAAACUCCGGUGGUAUAAGAUGGACCCGCGUUGGAUUAGCUAGUUGGUGAGGUAACGGCCCACCAAGGCGACGAUCCAUAGCCGACCUGAGAGGGUGACCGGCCACAUUGGGACUGAGACACGGCCCAAACUCCUACGGGAGGCAGCAGUGGGGAAUAUUGCACAAUGGGCGAAAGCCUGAUGCAGCGACGCCGCGUGAGCGAAGAAGUAUUUCGGUAUGUAAAGCUCUAUCAGCAGGGAAGAUAAUGACGGUACCUGACUAAGAAGCACCGGCUAAAUACGUGCCAGCAGCCGCGGUAAUACGUAUGGUGCAAGCGUUAUCCGGAUUUACUGGGUGUAAAGGGAGCGCAGGCGGUGCGGCAAGUCUGAUGUGAAAGCCCGGGGCUCAACCCCGGUACUGCAUUGGAAACUGUCGUACUAGAGUGUCGGAGGGGUAAGCGGAAUUCCUAGUGUAGCGGUGAAAUGCGUAGAUAUUAGGAGGAACACCAGUGGCGAAGGCGGCUUACUGGACGAUAACUGACGCUGAGGCUCGAAAGCGUGGGGAGCAAACAGGAUUAGAUACCCUGGUAGUCCACGCCGUAAA
Molecule: ribosomal RNA, 807 nt
Filed under: uncultured bacterium
Lineage: Bacteria
Description: bacterial SSU rRNA
Rfam family: Bacterial small subunit ribosomal RNA
Source: RNAcentral